This 490-nucleotide ribosomal RNA is filed under the name uncultured bacterium. RNAcentral's name for it is "partial 16S ribosomal RNA". It matches the Rfam family "Bacterial small subunit ribosomal RNA", at positions 30 to 507 of the family's 1533-position model. The record is from RNAcentral.
AUUGAACGCUGGCGGCAGGCCUAACGCAUGCAAGUCGAACGGUAACAGGAAGAAGCUUGCUUCUUUGCUGACGAGUGGCGGACGGGUGAGUAAUGUCUGGGAAACUGCCUGAUGGAGGGGGAUAACUACUGGAAACGGUAGCUAAUACCGCAUAACGUCGCAAGACCAAAGAGGGGGACCUUCGGGCCUCUUGCCAUCGGAUGUGCCCAGAUGGGAUUAGCUAGUAGGUGGGGUAACGGCUCACCUAGGCGACGAUCCCUAGCUGGUCUGAGAGGAUGACCAGCCACACUGGAACUGAGACACGGUCCAGACUCCUACGGGAGGCAGCAGUGGGGAAUAUUGCACAAUGGGCGCAAGCCUGAUGCAGCCAUGCCGCGUGUAUGAAGAAGGCCUUCGGGUUGUAAAGUACUUUCAGCGGGGAGGAAGGGAGUAAAGUUAAUACCUUUGCUCAUUGACGUUACCCGCAGAAGAAGCACCGGCUAACUCCGUG